This 414-nucleotide unclassified non-coding RNA is filed under the name Hevea brasiliensis (rubber tree). Lineage: Eukaryota; Viridiplantae; Streptophyta; Magnoliopsida; Malpighiales; Euphorbiaceae. The record is from RNAcentral.
CACACACACACAUAUAUAUUAUAUAUAAUAUAUAAAUAUAACAGAAAAAAUAGGAAAACAAAACGAAAAAAACCCUAAUAUUGGCUCGCCGCCUUUUAUGUUUCCAGUAAAAGGAGCAUAACUACGCGAUCACAAUUGCUGGUUCUGCGUAGAUUGUUUUUGAAUUUGCGUUGUGAGUUUUGCAAAAUUUUGAAGUUCCAGAAUCAGAAGGAUGGCAGAUGGCUAGUGUCUUGGAGUUUUUAUUCGUCAAGGAUUAGUAUUUCUGGAUACGGUAUUGAAUUUGGAGGGGUUAUCAAGGAUUUUAAUUUGAAAAUUUUGAGUGGGUGUUGUUAGCUGGACAGAUUGUGGUUUUCAUUAUUGCAAAUGGCAGAUGAUGGCAUGAGGGUAGGUGGGCUUUCAUCUGGCUUGGCCGUA